Molecule: ribosomal RNA, 495 nt
Filed under: uncultured bacterium
Lineage: Bacteria
Description: partial 16S ribosomal RNA
Rfam family: Bacterial small subunit ribosomal RNA
Source: RNAcentral
UGAACGCUGGCGGCGUGCCUAAUACAUGCAAGUCGAGCGAACGGACGAGAAGCUUGCUUCUCUGAUGUUAGCGGCGGACGGGUGAGUAACACGUGGAUAACCUACCUAUAAGACUGGGAUAACUUCGGGAAACCGGAGCUAAUACCGGAUAAUAUUUUGAACCGCAUGGUUCAAAAGUGAAAGACGGUCUUGCUGUCACUUAUAGAUGGAUCCGCGCUGCAUUAGCUAGUUGGUAAGGUAACGGCUUACCAAGGCAACGAUGCAUAGCCGACCUGAGAGGGUGAUCGGCCACACUGGAACUGAGACACGGUCCAGACUCCUACGGGAGGCAGCAGUAGGGAAUCUUCCGCAAUGGGCGAAAGCCUGACGGAGCAACGCCGCGUGAGUGAUGAAGGUCUUCGGAUCGUAAAACUCUGUUAUUAGGGAAGAACAUAUGUGUAAGUAACUGUGCACAUCUUGACGGUACCUAAUCAGAAAGCCACGGCUAACCACGUG